UGGAUGAUGUGGUUAAUUCGAUGCAACGCGAAAACCUUACCACCUUUGACAUGUACGGAAUCCUUAGAGAUAGAGGAGUGCUCGAAAGAGAACCGUAACACAGGUGCUGCAUGGCUGUCGUCAGCUCGUGUCGUGAGAUGUUGGGUUAAGUCCCGCAACGAGCGCAACCCUUGUCAUUAGUUGCUACAUUCAGUUGGGCACUCUAAUGAGACUGCCGGUGACAAACCGGAGGAAGGUGGGGAUGACGUCAAGUCCUCAUGGCCCUUAUAGGUGGGGCUACACACGUCAUACAAUGGAUGGUACAAAGGGUCGCCAACCCGCGAGGGGGAGCCAAUCCCAUAAAGCCAUUCGUAGUCCGGAUCGCAGUCUGCAACUCGACUGCGUGAAGUCGGAAUCGCUAGUAAUCGUGGAUCAGAAUGUCACGGUGAAUACGUUCCCGGGUCUU
This 445-nucleotide ribosomal RNA is filed under the name uncultured Acidovorax sp. Its description in RNAcentral is "bacterial SSU rRNA". It matches the Rfam family "Bacterial small subunit ribosomal RNA", at positions 933 to 1382 of the family's 1533-position model. Lineage: Bacteria; Pseudomonadati; Pseudomonadota; Betaproteobacteria; Burkholderiales; Comamonadaceae. The record is from RNAcentral.